UGGGGAAUUUUGGACAAUGGGCGAAAGCCUGAUCCAGCAAUGCCGCGUGUGUGAAGAAGGCCUUCGGGUUGUAAAGCACUUUUGUCCGGAAAGAAAUCCUUGGCUCUAAUACAGUCGGGGGAUGACGGUACCGGAAGAAUAAGCACCGGCUAACUACGUGCCAGCAGCCGCGGUAAUACGUAGGGUGCAAGCGUUAAUCGGAAUUACUGGGCGUAAAGCGUGCGCAGGCGGUUUGCUAAGACCGAUGUGAAAUCCCCGGGCUCAACCUGGGAACUGCAUUGGUGACUGGCAGGCUAGAGUAUGGCAGAGGGGGGUAGAAUUCCACGUGUAGCAGUGAAAUGCGUAGAGAUGUGGAGGAAUACCGAUGGCGAAGGCAGCCCCCUGGGCCAAUACUGACGCUCAUGCACGAAAGCGUGGGGAGCAAACAGGAUUAGAUACCCUGGUAGUCCACGCCCUAAACGAUGUCAACUAGUUGUUGGGGAUUCAUUUCCUAGUAACGUAGCUAACGCGUGAAGUUGACCGCCUGGGGAGUACGGUCGCAAGAUUAAAACUCAAAGAAUUGACGGGGUCAUAGCUGUUUCCU
RNAcentral lists this ribosomal RNA (583 nucleotides) under uncultured bacterium. RNAcentral's name for it is "partial 16S ribosomal RNA". It matches the Rfam family "Bacterial small subunit ribosomal RNA", at positions 355 to 1375 of the family's 1533-position model. The record is from RNAcentral.